Molecule: long non-coding RNA, 761 nt
Organism: Bombyx mori (domestic silkworm)
Lineage: Eukaryota; Metazoa; Arthropoda; Insecta; Lepidoptera; Bombycidae
Exons: 3
Source: RefSeq, a predicted model, not a curated record
AGUCGCGACUCGCUGCGCACGAGUUCAGUUCUGUUCCACAUUAACGCAUUUACGUGGAGGCCCGCGCGCUCAGCGGACGCCCGACCCGUCAGUGCCUGCCAGUACUCCAGUGCCAGUACUCGUGUGCAGUGCCAGUGGAUAGUGUGAAUGUUUCAGUGCGCUACUCGAGAUUUUCAAUUGGGUACGAAAAUGGUGAAACUAAAUCAGAAAAUACGAAAAAAACCCUGAAACACUUUUGUGUCGACACAAUGUGACACUCAAAUAGACUAAAAACAAAAUUUCAUACAAAAAUACUCGUGUAUAAUUCUAUAAUCAACAGUCUAGACUGGUUCUAGCAGAGCACGCAACGAACAGAACUGAACCGCGGACUUUAGCUAACCGCUAGCGCCAUCUACCGCCUCACUCAAUUAUACUGAGCUCUCAGAUAGUAGCUGUGUGCAAAUAGUGCUGGAUUAUCAUCACAGUGUUUCUAAUAGACAAUUAUAACCAAAAGAGUGUGUGACAAGAGUGUUGAGAGUGUACUUGUGAUGCACGAUGGAUCUGCACGCCCCGCCCAUGGUAGUACAUUCAUACGAGCCCCACGCUCCUCUGCUGGAGGUAGAGGGGCUGGACCCUCACAGCCCACAGCAGAAGGUUCUCAUACACGCACCUGCUAUGCAAAACCAAGAGCUCAUGCCCGCUGACCAUCGGAAUGGAGAGUACGACUUUUCAGAUGAGCAGUACGCACACCACGCGCACGGCGGCAGCCAGGGCAGCGACGG